This 274-nucleotide ribosomal RNA is filed under the name uncultured bacterium. Its description in RNAcentral is "partial 16S ribosomal RNA". It matches the Rfam family "Bacterial small subunit ribosomal RNA", at positions 523 to 796 of the family's 1533-position model. The record is from RNAcentral.
AUACGGAGGGUGCAAGCGUUAAUCGGAAUUACUGGGCGUAAAGCGUACGUAGGCGGUUGGUUAAGUUAGAUGUGAAAGCCCCGGGCUUAACCUGGGAACUGCAUUUAAAACUGGCGAACUAGAGUUGAGUAGAGGGGAGUGGAAUUUCAGGUGUAGCGGUGAAAUGCGUAGAGAUCUGAAGGAACACCAGUGGCGAAGGCGACUCCCUGGACUCGAACUGACGCUGAGGUACGAAAGCGUGGGUAGCAAACGGGAUUAGAAACCCUAGUAGUCC